Molecule: ribosomal RNA, 422 nt
Filed under: uncultured Flavobacterium sp.
Lineage: Bacteria; Pseudomonadati; Bacteroidota; Flavobacteriia; Flavobacteriales; Flavobacteriaceae
Description: bacterial SSU rRNA
Rfam family: Bacterial small subunit ribosomal RNA
Source: RNAcentral
UGAGGAAUAUUGGACAAUGGGCGCAAGCCUGAUCCAGCCAUGCCGCGUGCAGGAUGACGGUCCUAUGGAUUGUAAACUGCUUUUAUACAGGAAGAAACACUGGUUCGUGAACCAGCUUGACGGUACUGUAAGAAUAAGGAUCGGCUAACUCCGUGCCAGCAGCCGCGGUAAUACGGAGGAUCCAAGCGUUAUCCGGAAUCAUUGGGUUUAAAGGGUCCGUAGGCGGUCAGAUAAGUCAGUGGUGAAAGCCCAUCGCUCAACGGUGGAACGGCCAUUGAUACUGUCUGACUUGAAUUAUUAGGAAGUAACUAGAAUAUGUAGUGUAGCGGUGAAAUGCUUAGAGAUUACAUGGAAUACCAAUUGCGAAGGCAGGUUACUACUAAUAUAUUGACGCUGAUGGACGAAAGCGUGGGUAGCGAACA